This 207-nucleotide ribosomal RNA is filed under the name uncultured bacterium. RNAcentral describes it as "partial 16S ribosomal RNA". It matches the Rfam family "Bacterial small subunit ribosomal RNA", at positions 568 to 774 of the family's 1533-position model. The record is from RNAcentral.
UGCGUAGGUGGCGUGGUAAGUCGGGUGUGAAAUUUCGGAGCUUAACUCCGAAACUGCAUUCGAUACUGCCGUGCUUGAGGGCUGGAGAGGAGACUGGAAUUUACGGUGUAGCAGUGAAAUGCGUAGAGAUCGUAAGGAAGACCAGUGGCGAAGGCGGGUCUCUGGACAGUUCCUGACACUGAGGCACGAAGGCUAGGGGAGCAAACG